Molecule: ribosomal RNA, 492 nt
Filed under: uncultured bacterium
Lineage: Bacteria
Description: partial 16S ribosomal RNA
Rfam family: Bacterial small subunit ribosomal RNA
Source: RNAcentral
AGUGAACGCUGGCGGUAGGCCUAACACAUGCAAGUCGAACGGCAGCACAGUAAGAGCUUGCUCUUACGGGUGGCGAGUGGCGGACGGGUGAGGAAUACAUCGGAAUCUACUUUUUCGUGGGGGAUAACGUAGGGAAACUUACGCUAAUACCGCAUACGACCUACGGGUGAAAGCAGGGGAUCUUCGGACCUUGCGCGAUUGAAUGAGCCGAUGUCGGAUUAGCCAGUUGGCGGGGUAAAGGCCCACCAAGGCGACGAUCCGUAGCUGGUCCGAGAGGAUGAUCAGCCACACUGGAACUGAGACACGGUCCAGACUCCUACGGGAGGCAGCAGUGGGGAAUAUUGGACAAUGGGCGCAAGCCUGAUCCAGCCAUACCGCGUGGGUGAAGAAGGCCUUCGGGUUGUAAAGCCCUUUUGUUGGGAAAGAAAAGCAGCAGGUUAAUACCCCGCUGUUCUGACGGUACCCAAAGAAUAAGCACCGGCUAACUUCGUG